AGAAGAAGCACCGGCUAACUCCGUGCCAGCAGCCGCGGUAAUACGGAGGGUGCGAGCGUUAAUCGGAAUUACUGGGCGUAAAGACGCAUGCAGGCGGCCUGUUAAGUCAGAUGUGAAAGACCCGGGGCGUUAACCUCGGAAUUGCAUUUGAAACUGGCAGGCUAGAGUCUUGUAGAGGGGGGUAGGGAAUUUCAGGUGUAGCGGUGAAAUAGCGUAGAGAUCUGAAGGAAUACCAGUGGCGAAGGCGGCCCCCUCGGACAAAGACUGACGCUCAGAUGCGAAAGCGUGGGGAGCAAACAGGAUUAGAUACCCUGGUAG
RNAcentral lists this ribosomal RNA (318 nucleotides) under uncultured bacterium. RNAcentral's name for it is "bacterial SSU rRNA". It matches the Rfam family "Bacterial small subunit ribosomal RNA", at positions 483 to 793 of the family's 1533-position model. The record is from RNAcentral.